UCUUCUAUAAAAAUUAAAAACCCCUUACCAAUGAUUAUUUCUACAAUUUUUUUUUUUUUUUUACAUAUUGCGUCGUGUGAUGUAUAUACUUGCAACCAAACAUGUUGAGUCAUGGAAACCUUUUAAUGACUUGAAUCAAACUCAGAUUUUGAUGCCAAGAAGUUUAUUUUGAAGUUUGUUGGAAACUUGGAAAAUCAUAGGACAUGAAAAAUUGUUGCAAAUGUCUUCAAAGAAACGUUCUAAUGGUUAAAAAUUGAAACUCCAUUUUAAAGUUUUCAAGUUGAGAUCAUAAAAUAGGUAAAGCAAAUUUAUGUGAUGAAAGAGGAUUGCCU
This 332-nucleotide long non-coding RNA is filed under the name Durio zibethinus. Its description in RNAcentral is "long non-coding RNA (DZIB_LNC001233)". The record is from RNAcentral. Lineage: Eukaryota; Viridiplantae; Streptophyta; Magnoliopsida; Malvales; Malvaceae.